GUGGCCCAGCCGCACAUAUGCUAAAAUCGGAACAAUACAGACAAGAUCAGUGCGGCCCCUGUGCAAGGCCGACACGGGACUCGUAUCUUCUUGUGAUUGUAU
RNAcentral lists this small nuclear RNA (102 nucleotides) under Meriones unguiculatus (Mongolian gerbil). The record is from RNAcentral. Lineage: Eukaryota; Metazoa; Chordata; Mammalia; Rodentia; Muridae.